UGGACCUCAGAUCAGACAAGACCACCCGCU
Molecule: ribosomal RNA, 30 nt
Filed under: Bryopteris filicina
Lineage: Eukaryota; Viridiplantae; Streptophyta; Jungermanniopsida; Porellales; Lejeuneaceae
Description: partial 28S ribosomal RNA
Source: RNAcentral